CACGCAGGCGGGAAAUUAAGUGUUCUGUGAAAUCCCUCGGCUUAACCGAGGAACUGCGGGGCAAACUGAUUUUCUUGAGGCAAGUAGGGGUGCAUGGAACUCCAGGUGGAGCGGUGAAAUGCGUAGAUAUCUGGAGGAACGCCAGCGGUGAAAACGGUGCACUGGGCUUGUCCUGACGCUGAGGUGCGAAAGCGUGGGUAGCGAACAGGAUUAGAUACCCUGGUAGUCC
This 229-nucleotide ribosomal RNA is filed under the name uncultured bacterium. RNAcentral describes it as "partial 16S ribosomal RNA". It matches the Rfam family "Bacterial small subunit ribosomal RNA", at positions 568 to 796 of the family's 1533-position model. The record is from RNAcentral.